UCGCGAAUAGCUCAUUACAACAGCCAUAGUUUAUUUGAUCUUUCGAUUUUACUUGGAUACCUGUGGUAACCUAAGAGCUAAUACACGCAUUUAAGUCCAGACCUCGCGGGACGGACGCAUUUAUUAGACCAAAACCAAUCGGGCUUGCCCGUAUUUUGGUGAAUCUGAAUAACUUGGCUGAUCGCACGGUCUUUGCACCGGCGACGUAUCAUUCAAAUGUCUGCCUUAUCAACUUUCGAUGGUAGUUUAUGCGCCUACCAUGGUUGUAACGGGUAACGGAGAAUUAGGGUUCGACUCCGGAGAGGGAGCCUGAGAAACGGCUACCACAUCCAAGGAAGGCAGCAGGCA
RNAcentral lists this ribosomal RNA (348 nucleotides) under Enoplus sp. 1 JAL-2013. RNAcentral describes it as "bacterial SSU rRNA". It matches the Rfam family "Eukaryotic small subunit ribosomal RNA", at positions 87 to 433 of the family's 1831-position model. The record is from RNAcentral. Lineage: Eukaryota; Metazoa; Nematoda; Enoplea; Enoplida; Enoplidae.